GUGACGGGAGUCGCGGGAACGUGCGGUGAGUUCCAGGAACGAGUGUGGGAAAUGGUACCAAAGGCUAGGCUUCCUUGGAAUGUCCGCAAACACACUCCGUGAAAGUUUUGAAGCUAAAAGGCAGAUCAAACAGAAACUGCAGCUGCUAACUUUACUGCGACCUUAUUUCUGACAUAAAAUGCCCUCAGCGUAUUCUCACGUAAGGACUAAACUGCCUUCGUUAAAGGUGCGGGUCAUGCCAGCCCCGCGCCUGCGCAGAGCAGACGCGGCGCAGUUUAGCAGCCGAUCUGCUCUGUGACGACACAGAGACUGCUACGCCACCGCCGCCCGGCUCCUCAGGGACUGCCUGGUCCCUGCCCGCAGUGAGGGAGGCGGGCUGCCGGUCAGAGGGCGGAGGCCUAGCGAGGCGGAAGUCUCCGGCGGCUGCUGUUCACGCUUCUAGGGGGCCGGGAGGGAGCAUCUGCGCCGGAAGUGGUAGCGUGGCCGAGCGGUCUAAGGCGCUGGAUUAAGGCUCCAGUCUCUUCGGGGGCGUGGGUUCGAAUCCCACCGCUGCCAGGGCUUCUUUUUCUUCACGCACAGUGUGGACCGUUGCCCCGUCCUGAGUCAGGCCCCUUUUUCUCCUCCUUUGACUCGUGUUUACUCCGGAUACAGCCGCAGCCCGGCCAGGAGGUGCUUUUGUUCUCGCGGUCCUCAGUACGAACGAAGGACCGUACGACAGACUCCGGCAUCCCUUUGUAUCUCGAGGCACAUCAUCCGACGCCUGUGAAGGAAUAAGAUGUGUCCAGAAUGGCCCCGGAUCUUCCUGAGGCCCCGGCAGCCGGCUGUCUCGUGUCUGGAACCCUGUGCAGAUCCGACAAGAGACCCCCGCGGAGGGGGUACUGGUCCCAUGACUGCGGACACACCCGCCAGCGCCAGGGUUUUCUAAGUGGACUUCCUCCAGGAGAUUGAGGAUGGAUGACGCAGCACUAAGAACAUACUAGAACCAGCUGUCAUACGGCACACGGCUGGUGACUGGAGCUUCCCCGUCACUCACCUGGGAAGGAGCAGGUCAGGAACCCCCAGUCCUGCAGGUCCUCAGCGCAGGGCACGGCCCCUUGCUCCAGAUGGGAGAUGAGGGGUGGCUUAGGGCAGGCAAGGCCUGUUCAUGGAGAAGGGAAGUCAGUGUGCAUAGCAGAUCACCUCUGUCCCAACACCCGGCCUUGACCCUUCUGCUCCCACUGCAGAGGAGAGUGUGAGCAGGGGGGAGAAAAGGGUGUACUUGGGGGGGUCUGCCAACGCGUAAGCAAGCAUGUAGGGAUGACCUCAGAAAGGUCACGCUCAGAAGGGCAGAGGAGGAGACCCCAGGAAGCAGUCACUUGGUUGUAUUUUCCCCGUUGUGGCUGCGAGGCAAGAAUGAGGGCCCUGACUUUCACUGGGAGGCCCGGAGACGUCAAUAGACAGCAAGUAAAGAGUAAGGACAGGAGAAAGGACUAAGCCAAGCACGGGGUGUCCUCACCAGCCGACAGCAUGUUGCCAUAGUUCUCCAGCAUCACGUCAGUGUACAGGUGCCUCUGGGCGCGGGUCAGACACUGCCACUCUCCGCUACUGAAGCACACAGCCACAUCCUCAAACGUCACCGCGUCCUGCAAGGAUAUGCUCCCGCUGACCCGGAGGAAACCCCAGUCCCCAGGAAACAGACGCAGAAGAAGGGAUUCUCAGGAGGUUUCUAGAAAUGAAAGGAAGGGCUCGCCUGGGCCCCACUCACCGGUGUGGUAUUUGCUCCUGGCCGGUCUCCGUGGCUUCCGUCGUUGGCAAAGGCAGGAUGCUGAGGAGCCCGCAGGGCUGAGGGAAGAGAAAUGAGUCAACUUGGCACGGUAUUGACGAGACCCUGUGCUUUCCUCCUCUUCCCUAACGUGCAAGUCUAGACCACACCUUCCCCUCAUUUCUCCAGCCUGUUUCCAGUUUGGGCAGCAGGCCAUGGCACACAGCCAUGCUGACGGUAAAUGCUUGCUCUCCCUCACCUACAACGUGGUUUUCUGUGGUCGCUCUUCAUCCUAGAAUAACCUCGCCUGUCCCCAAGCCCACAUCACUGACUCCUGGCUGGUUCGAUGACCUUCCAGGAUCUGAGUGUUGAGGUCACUUCCUCCAGAAGGAGUAGGGAUGGGGACGGAUGGGGAUUGGCCCACAGCUUGUUCCUUUAGGUAACUUACUAGCUGGCCUACCUCGGGCCAUUUUCCCUUGUUCUUAUUAGAGAAGCAGCACGUGUCCCAACUCUGAGUCUCCCAUUAGCUCCUGGCACGGAGCCACCGUCCCCUCACCGUGCUGCAGUGCACGCAGCGUAUGCAGCAUGUGGUGUCCAGGUGUCUGGGGCAGCCCGUAGGGCACUUCGGCCCUCCACCUCGGCCGGCCCACAUAGCUGGCUAGGGAGCCCUAAUUCACUCCUCAGGGACCAGCUCCACCUUUCCUUAGCUUGUGUUUGCAGUGACUAACCUUUCUAGAAAGUUCUUCAACACAUCCCCAAUCCGAGUCUGAGCAGUCUCUUUCAGAAGAUACCAGGGAGAUUGGUCACCAACUGAUAAGACUCUAGGAUCACCCUGUGGACUUAGGUCCCCAAAAUUUCAUUCCAAUUUUGCCAAAACUUCAAUUUAGGAGCAAACUGGUUUCUUCCCAGAGAAAUUUCCCAAGAACAUUGUUCUUUGGUUUAGACCUGGGCUGUGUCUCAGUCCUCAUGGUACCUGCUCUCUUAUUCCGUGUCUCACCUACAAGCCCACGCAUUCUGUGACUGUUGGUUGCACAUGGUCCCACACCCAUUGGGCUCACAGCAGAGGCAGGUCUGCUCUGCAAGGAUCCUCAUGACAUCAAAAAUGUAACCUCCCAGCUCGGUGUUUUGUUCAAUCCACAUUUUAUUUAUUUUCUUCUUUUUUUUAAUGUUUAUUUUUGAGAGACAGAGAGAGAGAUUGGACGUGAAUGGGGGAGGGGCAGGGACAGGCUCUGAGCUGUCAGCACAGAGUCCGACUUGGGGCUCAAACCCAUGACCUGUGAGAUCAUGACCUGAGCUGGAGUCAGACACUUAACCGACUGAGCCACCCAGCUGCCCCUCAAUCCACAUUUUAUUGUGAAUGUUUUCAAAUAUACAGAAAAGCUGAAAGAACUGUGUGGUAAACAUCCACAUACUCCCCACUCAUGUUCCACAAUUAAUGUUUGCAAUAAACCUCUGUCUGUCUCACUAGCCCACUCGUCUUUGCUGAGUUUCAAAGUAACGAAGACAUGAGCAACUUUACCCCAAAACACUUUCUCCCAUGUAUCAUUAACUGGGGUUCAGUAUGUGUUUACAUUCUUGUUUUUGAGUAAAUUUACAUACACAUUUAUAUACACAUACAUACACAAGUCGUAAGUGUACCAUUGGCUGAGUUUUGACAAAGCACAGCCCUAUUUGGCCCAAAGUCCCCUCCAGAAACGUCCCCGUUGGAUUUUGACUAUAUCUUCUUCACAGAUUGGGAUAGUCAUUAAGUCAUAGUGGUUCUUCUUUUAAAAAAGUGUUCAUCAUGCUAUUUUUUUUUUUAAAGUAGAUUCCGUGCCCCAUGGGAGGCUUGAACUCACGACCCUGAGUCCAAGUCAUGUGGCUGCACCAACUGGGCCAGCCAGGUGCCCCCAAAGUUUUUUGAACUGUGGCACAGAAUAUGUGACCAAAUUUACCAUCUUAAGCAUUCUUAAGUGUAUGGUUCAGCAGUGUUGAAAACACACAAUGUGAGUCAUCUCCACAACUUUUUCAUCCUGCAAAACUUAAACUCUCUAUGCAUCACACAACCUGCCUGUGUCUCUCCCUCCCCAGUCCCUGGUCACCACAGUGAUUCUUAGGCUUUAUUUUUUAGCUUUAGAUUUUGAAAGGUCAGUUUCUGCCCUCAAGUUAAAAAUGAAUCUGGGACACAGGCUGUGUGCUCACGACCUGAAACUACCUUGGUCAGCUCAGGCUGCCCUAACAAAACACCCCGGGCUGGCUGGCUCACUUCUCUCAGUUCUGGAGGCUGGACGUGCAGACCCAGGUGUCGGCCCCUCCUGGCUUCCGUCCCUCUCCUCUCACAUGGGAGAGACAGAGUUCUGGGCCCCUCCUCUCUUCAUUGCCAUCCUUAUGACUUUAUCUAAACCUCAUUUCUUCCCAAGGCCCCACCCACCUCUCAAUAUCAUCACACAGGGGUUCAGGGACAUGUGCAUUUUGAGGGGACACGUUCAGUCCAUAACAAAAUUAUUUGUUAAAGCUGGGCACAGAUAGUAUCUGGGAUGAGACUGAUUCACUUAUGAUUCCUUAUACAGUAGAAAUGUCAGGAUUUCUCAUUUGGAAGUGCCAAUAACAUACUUUUUUUUUCGUUGUAGAUAAUAAAUACUAAAAGCCUACUUUUGAGGUGCCUGGUGCCUCGUCCUCUGUCCAAAGGUCGGUGCCAUUCAGGGUCUGCCUGUAGGACUCCAGAAUUGCUAAACGCCAGGCCCUGGGUUUUACUUCCAGCAGCCACGUCUAUACAGUCUUGUCCACCUUCCUCUGCACAUGUCCCAUCAAAGAGCAUUUCUAAACCCAGACUCUCAUUUUCCCAAAGCUUCACGACAAGACCUUUGCUCCUUCUUGGCCAGUUGUUUCCAGAUCACUCACUCUGAGGGAGGCCAGCUGUCACAUUGCGAGGAGUGGCCCACGUGGUGAGGAAAUGAAACCCCCGCCAACAGCCAUUUGAAUGAGUUUAGAAGUGCAUCCUCCAGCCCCCAGUCUAGCCAUCAGAUGACUACAGCCCGGGUCACAGACUCAAAGCCAACAGCUGAGCUGCUCUCAGAUUCCUGAUCUGCAGAAACUGUGUG
This is a long non-coding RNA of Leopardus geoffroyi (Geoffroy's cat), 4821 nucleotides long. RefSeq lists it as uncharacterized. The record is from RefSeq and is a predicted model, not a curated record. NCBI's taxonomy places the organism in Eukaryota, Metazoa, Chordata, Mammalia, Carnivora, Felidae. The transcript has 4 exons.